GACGUAGGGCGCGAGCGUUGUCCGGAUUUAUUGGGCGUAAAGAGCGUGUAGGCGGCUAGAUAGGUCCGUUGUGAAAACUCGAGGCUCAACCUCGAGACGUCGAUGGAAACCAUCUGGCUAGAGUCCGGAAGAGGAGAGUGGAAUUCCUGGUGUAGCGGUGAAAUGCGCAGAUAUCAGGAAGAACACCCGUGGCGAAGGCGGCUCUCUGGUACGUGACUGACGCUGAGACGCGAAAGCGUGGGGAGCAAACAGG
RNAcentral lists this ribosomal RNA (253 nucleotides) under uncultured bacterium. Its description in RNAcentral is "partial 16S ribosomal RNA". It matches the Rfam family "Bacterial small subunit ribosomal RNA", at positions 524 to 776 of the family's 1533-position model. The record is from RNAcentral.